AAAGCAUCUGCGUCCCUCCCGAGGUAUUGUCCGCUCUGGGAUUGCCACUUCGGGUCUCCGGGAGGUCGCCCAGGGUCUUUGCCCAAUGACAGUCCCGAGCCCUAACGGCGCGGGGGUCCGCGGAGGUACUACCCCUACCCUCACGGUUUUGUCCUACAAAAGGGUCCUCGGUAAGGAGAGGUUAUUGAGCCCCCCAUUUAAGGCACAGACCUUUCCACUGAUUAGCCGAUGUGGGACUAAACUGGGAACCCCAUCCCACAACAGUGUUUAUAACUCUCCAUGGGAACUUCACUAAGAAGAAUAUGAUGGUUGCAAAGACAAAGGCUCUAGUCCUACUAGAGAUGAAAUCUGUAAAUGCAUCGGCAAGCUAUUUGAUGCAACUAACACUCAUACAAUUUCUUUUGAUGAUUAGUUUCUUCACUAGUUUCAAGUUGUUUCUUAGUUCUCGGUAUGAUGUUAAUAGUAGNNNNNNNNNNNNNNNNNNNNGUCGCCCAGGGUCUUUGCCCAGUGACAGUCCCGAGCCCUAACGGCGCGGGGGUCCGCGGAGGUACUACCCCUACCCUCACGGUUUUGUCCUACAAAAGGGCCCUCGGUAAGGAGAGGUUAUUGAGUCCCCCAUUUAAGGCACAGACCUUUCCGCUGAUUAGCUGAUGUGGGACUAAACUGGGAACCCCAUCCCACAACACAGCCCCCCCAGCGGGAAGGUCUGUGCGUGGCCGGGGCCCUUCCUCUAGCGCC
Molecule: long non-coding RNA, 738 nt
Filed under: Phoenix dactylifera (date palm)
Lineage: Eukaryota; Viridiplantae; Streptophyta; Magnoliopsida; Arecales; Arecaceae
Description: long non-coding RNA (PDAC_LNC003568)
Source: RNAcentral